AAUCUAAUAGUUUUUAAACAUUAAAUUGCAAAUUUAAAAAUAAGUAAUUAAGUUA
RNAcentral lists this transfer RNA (55 nucleotides) under Pardosa pusiola. RNAcentral's name for it is "tRNA-Cys". Lineage: Eukaryota; Metazoa; Arthropoda; Arachnida; Araneae; Lycosidae. The record is from RNAcentral.